This 68-nucleotide transfer RNA is filed under the name Marmota monax (woodchuck). Its description in RNAcentral is "tRNA.Ala". The record is from RNAcentral. Lineage: Eukaryota; Metazoa; Chordata; Mammalia; Rodentia; Sciuridae.
GGAUUGUGGCUUAGUGGUACAGCGCCUGCCUAGCACAUGCGUGGCCCUGGGUUCGAUCCUCAGCACCA